UCUGUCGAGAAAGUUUGGGGGCAUUGAUCAAUAUCACAAAACAGAUAAAUUAGGGGAGGGGACUUAUGGAGUGGUACACAAAGCUGAGAACAAAGAGACUGGUGAAAUC
This 109-nucleotide non-coding RNA is filed under the name Paramoeba aestuarina. The record is from RNAcentral. Lineage: Eukaryota; Discosea; Flabellinia; Dactylopodida; Paramoebidae.